This 254-nucleotide ribosomal RNA is filed under the name uncultured bacterium. RNAcentral describes it as "partial 16S ribosomal RNA". It matches the Rfam family "Bacterial small subunit ribosomal RNA", at positions 524 to 777 of the family's 1533-position model. The record is from RNAcentral.
UACAGAGGGGGCAAGCGUUAUUCGGAAUUAUUGGGCGUAAAGGGCGCGUAGGCGGCCUGACAAGUGGAAGGUGAAAUCCCUCGGCUUAACCGAGGAACUGCCCUCCAAACUGUUUGGCUUGAGACCGGGAGAGGUGAGUGGAAUUCCCAGUGUAGCGGUGAAAUGCGUAGAUAUUGGGAGGAACACCAGUGGCGAAGGCGGCUACCUGGACCGGUACUGACGCUGAUGCGCGAAAGCGUGGGGAGCAAACAGGG